Molecule: ribosomal RNA, 1403 nt
Filed under: Escherichia coli
Lineage: Bacteria; Pseudomonadati; Pseudomonadota; Gammaproteobacteria; Enterobacterales; Enterobacteriaceae
Description: partial 23S ribosomal RNA
Rfam family: Bacterial large subunit ribosomal RNA
Source: RNAcentral
AAUCAAGGCUGAGGCGUGAUGACGAGGCACUACGGUGCUGAAGCGACAAAUGCCCUGCUUCCAGGAAAAGCCUCUAAGCAUCAGGUAACAUCAAAUCGUACCCCAAACCGACACAGGUGGUCAGGUAGAGAAUACCAAGGCGCUUGAGAGAACUCGGGUGAAGGAACUAGGCAAAAUGGUGCCGUAACUUCGGGAGAAGGCACGCUGAUAUGUAGGUGAAGCGACUUGCUCGUGGAGCUGAAAUCAGUCGAAGAUACCAGCUGGCUGCAACUGUUUAUUAAAAACACAGCACUGUGCAAACACGAAAGUGGACGUAUACGGUGUGACGCCUGCCCGGUGCCGGAAGGUUAAUUGAUGGGGUUAGCGGUAACGCGAAGCUCUUGAUCGAAGCCCCGGUAAACGGCGGCCGUAACUAUAACGGUCCUAAGGUAGCGAAAUUCCUUGUCGGGUAAGUUCCGACCUGCACGAAUGGCGUAAUGAUGGCCAGGCUGUCUCCACCCGAGACUCAGUGAAAUUGAACUCGCUGUGAAGAUGCAGUGUACCCGCGGCAAGACGGAAAGACCCCGUGAACCUUUACUAUAGCUUGACACUGAACAUUGAGCCUUGAUGUGUAGGAUAGGUGGGAGGCUUUGAAGUGUGGACGCCAGUCUGCAUGGAGCCGACCUUGAAAUACCACCCUUUAAUGUUUGAUGUUCUAACGUGGGCCCCUUACCGGGGUUGCGGACAGUGUCUGGUGGGUAGUUUGACUGGGGCGGUCUCCUCCUAAAGAGUAACGGAGGAGCACGAAGGUUGGCUAAUCCUGGUCGGACAUCAGGAGGUUAGUGCAAUGGCAUAAGCCAGCUUGACUGCGAGCGUGACGGCGCGAGCAGGUGCGAAAGCAGGUCAUAGUGAUCCGGUGGUUCUGAAUGGAAGGGCCAUCGCUCAACGGAUAAAAGGUACUCCGGGGAUAACAGGCUGAUACCGCCCAAGAGUUCAUAUCGACGGCGGUGUUUGGCACCUCGAUGUCGGCUCAUCACAUCCUGGGGCUGAAGUAGGUCCCAAGGGUAUGGCUGUUCGCCAUUUAAAGUGGUACGCGAGCUGGGUUUAGAACGUCGUGAGACAGUUCGGUCCCUAUCUGCCGUGGGCGCUGGAGAACUGAGGGGGGCUGCUCCUAGUACGAGAGGACCGGAGUGGACGCAUCACUGGUGUUCGGGUUGUCAUGCCAAUGGCACUGCCCGGUAGCUAAAUGCGGAAGAGAUAAGUGCUGAAAGCAUCUAAGCACGAAACUUGCCCCGAGAUGAGUUCUCCCUGACUCCUUGAGAGUCCUGAAGGAACGUUGAAGACGACGACGUUGAUAGGCCGGGUGUGUAAGCGCAGCGAUGCGUUGAGCUAACCGGUACUAAUGAACCGUGAGGCUUAACCUU